UGUUACUGACGCUAAAGCUCGAAAGUGCGGGUAUCGAACAGGAUUAGAUACCCUGGUAGUCCGCACGGUAAACGAUGGAUGCCCGCUGUUUGCCCUUCGGGGUGAGUGGCUAAGCGAAAGCGUUAAGCAUCCCACCUGGGGAGUACGCCGGCAACGGUGAAACUCAAAGGAAUUGACGGGGGCCCGCACAAGCGGAGGAACAUGUGGUUUAAUUCGAUGAUACGCGAGGAACCUUACCCGGGCUUGAAUUGCAGAUGACGGAUCUAGAGAUAGUGACUUCCUUCGGGACAUCUGUGAAGGUGCUGCAUGGUUGUCGUCAGCUCGUGCCGUGAGGUGUCGGCUUAAGUGCCAUAACGAGCGCAACCCUUCUCUUCAGUUGCCAUCAGGUAGAGCUGGGCACUCUGGAGACACUGCCACCGUAAGGUGUGAGGAAGGUGGGGAUGACGUCAAAUCAGCACGGCCCUUACGUCCGGGGCUACACACGUGUUACAAUGGCCGGUACAGAAAGUCGGAUGCCCGUAAGGUCAUUCUAAUCAAGAAAGCCGGUCCCAGUUCGGACUGAGGUCUGCAACCCGACCUCACGAAGCUGGAUUCGCUAGUA
This 601-nucleotide ribosomal RNA is filed under the name uncultured bacterium. RNAcentral describes it as "bacterial SSU rRNA". It matches the Rfam family "Bacterial small subunit ribosomal RNA", at positions 735 to 1340 of the family's 1533-position model. The record is from RNAcentral.